AACGCAUAUUGCGCCCAUUAGUAUUCUAGUGGGCAUGCCUGUUCGAGCGUCAUUUCAACCCUCAAGUUUUAUAGCUUGGUGCUGGGGCUAUCUGUUGUAACAAUGUAUUACAGGCCCUGAAAGACAUUGGCGAGCUCACUGUAAACCCGAGCGUAGUAGAAUUUUUUAUUCGCUUAGGGUGUCCAGUUAGUAUUAGCCAUUAAACAACUCCAUUUUAUUAAAGUUGACCUCGGAUCAGGUAGGAAUACCCGCUGAACUUAA
Molecule: unclassified non-coding RNA, 261 nt
Filed under: uncultured fungus
Lineage: Eukaryota; Fungi
Description: sequence contains ITS2
Source: RNAcentral